AAAAUCUUUUGUUGUUUACAGUGACUUUUCGUGGGGCCCAAAGCCACAAUCCCUGCUUUGGGAUGCCAGUGCUUUAUCAGUGACCUCUGUGUUUUGUUUCAUUUUGUUUUAAAUCUGUAGGCCUAGAAUUUCAGACAACCUCAAAAUAGGUUUUGCAAUCUCUGAUCAUGCCACUCAAACUGAUAUAAGUGAAAUAGGAGAUGUAAAAGAAUUUAUGACAACAACGAGAACUUUGCUACAGUUCACAAACUCGGUCUAUGAGGAGUUUGCAAGGUAUAAAAGUGUCCUCCAAGCCCAGUAUGAGGAAAAAAAUAAAAGAGCAUGCAUCCAAUCUCUGGACAGAAAUAAGUGACAGACUUAAAUAUAUUGAGGACUUUUAUAAGCAGAAUAUAUAUACCCUGCUCUUCAGCCAAAAGGCUAUCAAAGCGGCUUACUUUUUUUUUUUUAAUUAGACAGUUUCCUGCCCUCAGGCUUACAAACUUCAAGCUCUUUUGAGCCUUGUGAGUAUAUUCCAUUGUGCUGAAUGCAGUCUUAGGUUGUUCCAGUCAGAUACUUUGUAGCACUGUCAAUCAAAAUAUAUUGUGCAGGUAUUCCAUCUUUUAUUCCACCGUAAUAAUUCCACAGGAUUCCCUAGCACUGAGCCAGGGCAGUUAAAGUAGUCUCAAACUGGAUUAUUUCUGCACUAUGUUUUGGACCAAAGAGACUGACAGCUUUUAUCAGGCCAACACUUUCAUGCACUAUUAUCUGCUUCAUUAGAUCCAGGUUUAAUGAAGUGGACUGCUUGUGCCAAAUAAAGACUUUUGUUCUUGAAGGUACCAGAGGAAUCUCUGCUGGCUUAUCAGCAUCAAAUUAACGUAGGUACUGAUUGAAAAUCUCUACAAUAGAUUUUCUUUGCUAAAAAUUUUUUUAAAAGGAAGAAAGUGUUGGGAAGCACAGGAGGGUUACAAAUCAAAGAUGACAAUUUCUGGGCCUCAUGUGAAAUUUCUUGUGUGGAGUGAGCAGACAAUAAAUGCCUCAUCUGAAAGCACCCCUAAAAGACUGCAUUCAGAUACACAAUAUACAGUAAAUACAAAUCUAAAAUUCAGUGUCACUAAAAUGAGUGGUACUUAUUCAUGAGUGCAGUUGCAUAGGAAUAUGCUGCUAUCCUUGCCACACACCAAGUUGCUGUCAGCUAAAGCAGAGAUGAGAAACAUAGUCUUCCAGAUGUUGUUGGACUGCAACUUUCCUUUCCCUCACCAUGAGCUGUGUUGGCUAGAGCUGAUAAAGUUUACACUGCAAAUAACAUCUAGAGAGCUAUAUGGAGCG
Molecule: long non-coding RNA, 1305 nt
Organism: Sceloporus undulatus (fence lizard)
Lineage: Eukaryota; Metazoa; Chordata; Lepidosauria; Squamata; Phrynosomatidae
Exons: 3
Source: RefSeq, a predicted model, not a curated record